AAAAUUUUAGUUUAAAAAAAACAUUUUUUUUACAAAAAAAAAUUAAUUUAUAAUUAAAUUUUA
Molecule: transfer RNA, 63 nt
Filed under: Chouioia cunea
Lineage: Eukaryota; Metazoa; Arthropoda; Insecta; Hymenoptera; Eulophidae
Description: tRNA-Val
Source: RNAcentral